This 484-nucleotide ribosomal RNA is filed under the name uncultured bacterium. RNAcentral describes it as "partial 16S ribosomal RNA". It matches the Rfam family "Bacterial small subunit ribosomal RNA", at positions 30 to 507 of the family's 1533-position model. The record is from RNAcentral.
AUUGAACGCUGGCGGCAGGCCUAACACAUGCAAGUCGAGCGGAUGAAGGGAGCUUGCUCCUGGAUUCAGCGGCGGACGGGGGAGUAAUGCCUAGGAAUCUGCCUGGUAGUGGGGGAUAACGUCCUGAAACGGGCGCUAAUACCGCAUACGUCCUGCGGGAGAAAGAGGGGGAUCUUCGGAACUCACGCUAUCAGAGGAGCCUAGGUCGGGUUAGCUAGUUGGUGGGGUAAAGGCCUACCAAGUAGACGAUCCGUAACUGGUCGGAGAGGAUGAUCAGUCACCCUGGAACUGGACCACGGUCCAGACUCCUACGGGAGGCAGCAGUGGGGAAUAUUGGACAAUGGGCGAAAGCCUGAUCCAGCCAUGCCGCGUGUGUGAAGAAGGUCUUCGGAUUGUAAAGCACUUUAAGUUGGGAGGAAGGGCAGUAAGUUAAUACCUUGCUGUUUUGACGUUACCAACAGAAUAAGCACCGGCUAACUUCGUG